AUACUUACCUGGACGGGGUCUUUGGGCGAUCAACAAGGCUCAUGGCCUAGGGUGUUGGCCUCCAUUGCACAUAGGAGGAUCAACAGCCUAAGAUCUCCCCAAGUGGGAGAGUCUACGUCAUAAUUUAUUUCUGAGGGGCCUGCGUUCGCGCGGCCCCUAU
Non-coding RNA from Beta vulgaris subsp. vulgaris (sugar beet), 160 nucleotides. NCBI's taxonomy places the organism in Eukaryota, Viridiplantae, Streptophyta, Magnoliopsida, Caryophyllales, Amaranthaceae. The record is from Rfam.